AGGUCCUACCAUCGGAAGAGUGCUAACAACAACCAGCCCCCGCGAAGUAAUACCUAACGGGGGUCCCGCGGGGGAGAGUGGUCGAAGAAGCGUUUGGGGUUUUAGAUUUUAGUACGUAAGCGCCAUGGAUGGCGAGUCGAGCGUGCUAAGACCCAGCAGCAUCGUUUGAAGAUUUUCUACCUCCAGCUCGC
Glossina morsitans morsitans is the source of this 191-nucleotide non-coding RNA. The record is from Rfam. NCBI's taxonomy places the organism in Eukaryota, Metazoa, Arthropoda, Insecta, Diptera, Glossinidae.